This 562-nucleotide long non-coding RNA is filed under the name Phoenix dactylifera (date palm). Its description in RNAcentral is "long non-coding RNA (PDAC_LNC007562)". The record is from RNAcentral. Lineage: Eukaryota; Viridiplantae; Streptophyta; Magnoliopsida; Arecales; Arecaceae.
GAAAAUAGUAGGGGCCUUUUCCAAAGGAAUAACCACUAAAACCAAGUUCUUUUAUUCAUAACACGACACUAGAUAACCAGCAUGUUCAGAACAAGAAGCUAAACCAGCCUUUUGAAGAAAAGCAUGAAAGAAAAUAAUUGAAAAAGUCCCAAUAGAGAUAGAAUUUAGAUUGACUUUUUCAACUUUAUUCUCUUCAAUUUUUUGCUACCGGUGGGUCAACACGACAACGGGUAAUCGGAUUGCAGCCACGGUGAUAAGAGUUUGAUAGUGUCGAUAGAGUUCUCUUGGAUUGGAAUACACCAAGCAUGCGCCGUGGUUCGACAAAAGCCUCAUUGGACCCGCCUUUACGAUCUCCUCCUGCGCUGCUUCCACGAAAUAAUAGUUGUUGAGCAGCAAAAGCCAAAUCACUGCAAGUCCUACCAUCCUCCAUUGCAUCUCCACUCGCGCCAUGUCUCUCAAGCACUCCUCGGUUUCCGUACACUCUCCGGUGAUGGGAAGAGUUUUGUUUGACGGUAGUGAUGAGAAGGGUUGAUGGCAUUGGAAUUUAUAAGGUUGAAGGGAG